AUACGGAGGGUGCGAGCGUUAAUCGGAAUUACUGGGCGUAAAGGGUGCGUAGGCGGCUUGAUAAGUCGGAUGUGAAAGCCCCGGGCUUAACCUGGGAAUUGCAUUCGAUACUGUUAGGCUAGAGUAUGUCAGAGGUUGGCGGAAUUCCUGGUGUAGCGGUGAAAUGCGUAGAUAUCAGGAGGAACACCAGUGGCGAAGGCGGCUAACUGGGGCAAUACUGACGCUGAGGCACGAAAGCGUGGGGAGCAAACAGGAUUAGAAACCCUAGUAGUCC
RNAcentral lists this ribosomal RNA (274 nucleotides) under uncultured bacterium. RNAcentral's name for it is "partial 16S ribosomal RNA". It matches the Rfam family "Bacterial small subunit ribosomal RNA", at positions 523 to 796 of the family's 1533-position model. The record is from RNAcentral.